GUGCUUGCUGCAGUAGCACAUAUACUAAAAUUGGAAGGAUACAGAGAAGAUGAGCAUGGCCCCUGCACAAGGAUGACACACAAAUCCGUGAUGCGUUCCAUAUUUUC
Molecule: small nuclear RNA, 107 nt
Organism: Pan troglodytes (chimpanzee)
Lineage: Eukaryota; Metazoa; Chordata; Mammalia; Primates; Hominidae
Source: Ensembl